This 481-nucleotide ribosomal RNA is filed under the name uncultured bacterium. Its description in RNAcentral is "partial 16S ribosomal RNA". It matches the Rfam family "Bacterial small subunit ribosomal RNA", at positions 30 to 506 of the family's 1533-position model. The record is from RNAcentral.
AUUGAACGCUGGCGGCAUGCUUUACACAUGCAAGUCGAACGGUAACAGGCCGCAAGGUGCUGACGAGUGGCGAACGGGUGAGUAAUGCAUCGGAACGUGCCCAGCCGUGGGGGAUAACUACUCGAAAGAGUAGCUAAUACCGCAUACGAUCUAUGGAUGAAAGCGGGGGACCGUAAGGCCUCGCGCGAUUGGAGCGGCCGAUGUCAGAUUAGGUAGUUGGUGGGGUAAAGGCUCACCAAGCCAACGAUCUGUAGCUGGUCUGAGAGGACGACCAGCCACACUGGGACUGAGACACGGCCCAGACUCCUACGGGAGGCAGCAGUGGGGAAUUUUGGACAAUGGGCGCAAGCCUGAUCCAGCAAUGCCGCGUGCAGGAAGAAGGCCUUCGGGUUGUAAACUGCUUUUGUACGGAACGAAACGGCUCUGGUUAAUACCCGGGGCUAAUGACGGUACCGUAAGAAUAAGCACCGGCUAACUACGU